This 497-nucleotide ribosomal RNA is filed under the name uncultured bacterium. Its description in RNAcentral is "partial 16S ribosomal RNA". It matches the Rfam family "Bacterial small subunit ribosomal RNA", at positions 28 to 507 of the family's 1533-position model. The record is from RNAcentral.
GAUGAACGCUGGCGGCGUGCCUAAUACAUGCAAGUCGAGCGAACAGACGAGGGGCUUGCUCCUCUGACGUUAGCGGCGGACGGGUGAGUAACACGUGGAUAACCUACCUAUAAGACUGGGAUAACUUCGGGAAACCGGAGCUAAUACCGGAUAAUAUAUUGAACCGCAUGGUUCAAUAGUGAAAGACGGUUUUGCCGUCACUUAUAGAUGGAUCCGCGCCGCAUUAGCUAGUUGGUAAGGUAACGGCUUACCAAGGCGACGAUGCGUAGCCGACCUGAGAGGGUGAUCGGCCACACUGGAACUGAGACACGGUCCAGACUCCUACGGGAGGCAGCAGUAGGGAAUCUUCCGCAAUGGGCGAAAGCCCGACGGAGCAACGCCGCGUGAGUGAUGAAGGUCUUCGGAUCGUAAAACUCUGUUAUUAGGGAAGAACAAAUGUGUAAGUAACUAUGCACGUCUUGACGGUACCUAAUCAGAAAGCCACGGCUAACUACGUG